Molecule: long non-coding RNA, 135 nt
Organism: Eurytemora carolleeae
Lineage: Eukaryota; Metazoa; Arthropoda; Copepoda; Calanoida; Temoridae
Exons: 3
Source: RefSeq, a predicted model, not a curated record
AAUAAUAUUAUGACAGAGGAUUCCAGGAAGGAGAUGCAACAGAUUUGUCGAGUACUAGUAAAAAGAUGGAUGGCAGCACUGAAGAAUAUUUUAACAAUUUUUAGACGAGAUCCACACAGUUCCCAAUCUAAAGGA